RNAcentral lists this ribosomal RNA (545 nucleotides) under uncultured Scutellospora. RNAcentral describes it as "SSU rRNA". It matches the Rfam family "Eukaryotic small subunit ribosomal RNA", at positions 548 to 1098 of the family's 1831-position model. Lineage: Eukaryota; Fungi; Glomeromycota; Glomeromycetes; Diversisporales; Gigasporaceae. The record is from RNAcentral.
UUGGAGGGCAAGUCUGGUGCCAGCAGCCGCGGUAAUUCCAGCUCCAAUAGCGUAUAUUAAAGUUGUUGCAGUUAAAAAGCUCGUAGUUGAAUUUCGGGGUUCUACCGUUGGUCGGGCAAUUGUCUGUACUGGCGUGUAGAAUUUCUACCUUCUGGGGAACCAUCAUGUUAUUAAUUUAGCGUGGUGGGAAACCAGGACCUUUACCUUGAAAAAAUUAGAGUGUUCAAAGCAGGCUUACGUCUGAAUACAUUAGCAUGGAAUAAUAAAAUAGGACGGUGGUCCUGUUUUGUUGGUUUCUGAAUCACCGUAAUGAUUAAUAGGGAUAGUUGGGGGCAUUAGUAUUCAAUUGUCAGAGGUGAAAUUCUUGGAUUUAUUGAAGACUAACUUCUGCGAAAGCAUUUGCCAAGGAUGUUUUCAUUAAUCAAGAACGAAAGUUAGGGGAUCGAAGACGAUCAGAUACCGUCGUAGUCUUAACCAUAAACUAUGCCGACUAGGGAUCGGACGAUGUUAAUUUUUCUUGACUCGUUCGGCGCCUUACGGGAAAC